This 144-nucleotide ribosomal RNA is filed under the name Escherichia coli. RNAcentral's name for it is "partial 23S ribosomal RNA". It matches the Rfam family "Bacterial large subunit ribosomal RNA", at positions 2787 to 2925 of the family's 2925-position model. The record is from RNAcentral. RNAcentral also lists the same sequence under 5 other names. Lineage: Bacteria; Pseudomonadati; Pseudomonadota; Gammaproteobacteria; Enterobacterales; Enterobacteriaceae.
ACGAAACUUGCCCCGAGAUGAGUUCUCCCUGAGACUUAGAGUCUCCUGAAGGAACGUUGAAGACGACGACGUUGAUAGGCCGGGUGUGUAAGCGCAGCGAUGCGUUGAGCUAACCGGUACUAAUGAACCGUGAGGCUUAACCUU